GACGAACGCUGGCGGCGUGCCUAAUACAUGCAAGUAGGACGCAGUUGCGAACGGGUGAGUAACGCGUCGGUAACUGCCUAUUAGAGGGGGAUAACUAUUGGAACCGAUAGCUAAUACCGCAUACUAGUAGAUGGACCUGCUUUGUAUUAGCUAGUAGGUCGGGUAAUGGCAUACCUAGGCAACGAGACAUAGCCGACCGGAGAGGGGGAACGGCCAAAACGGGACUGAGACCCGGCCCAGACUCCUACGGGAGGGAGCAGGAGGGAAUCUUCGGCAAUGGGGGGAACCCUGACCGAGCAACGCCGCGUGAGUGAAGAAGGUUUUCGGAUCGUAAAGCUCUUUUGUUAAGGAAGCGGUACUUAACCAGAAAGGGACGGCUAACUACGUGCCAGCAGCCGCGGUAAUAC
Molecule: ribosomal RNA, 407 nt
Filed under: uncultured bacterium
Lineage: Bacteria
Description: partial 16S ribosomal RNA
Rfam family: Bacterial small subunit ribosomal RNA
Source: RNAcentral